This 29-nucleotide non-coding RNA is filed under the name Rattus norvegicus (Norway rat). The record is from RNAcentral. Lineage: Eukaryota; Metazoa; Chordata; Mammalia; Rodentia; Muridae.
UCAUUAUCAAAGUCCCGGAUUAGUGGUGU